This is a non-coding RNA of Camelina sativa (false flax), 144 nucleotides long. Lineage: Eukaryota; Viridiplantae; Streptophyta; Magnoliopsida; Brassicales; Brassicaceae. The record is from RefSeq and is a predicted model, not a curated record.
AGGAGUGUGAAGAGCUUUCAUCAUCCAUAAAAUGGAGCAAAGCAAUGAGUUUGUUUGAAAAUGAUGAGCGCUUUAAAGCUGUUGACCGUUCAAGGGAUCGUGAAGAUCUUUUUGACAAUUAUAUUGUGGAACUUGAGAGGAAGG